AGAGUUUGAUCAUGGCUCAGAUUGAACGCUGGCGGCAGGCCUAACACAUGCAAGUCGAACGGUAACAGGAAGCAGCUUGCUGCUUCGCUGACGAGUGGCGGACGGGUGAGUAAUGUCUGGGAAACUGCCUGAUGGAGGGGGAUAACUACUGGAAACGGUAGCUAAUACCGCAUAAUGUCGCAAGACCAAAGAGGGGGACCUUCGGGCCUCUUGCCAUCGGAUGUGCCCAGAUGGGAUUAGCUUGUUGGUGGGGUAACGGCUCACCAAGGCGACGAUCCCUAGCUGGUCUGAGAGGAUGACCAGCCACACUGGAACUGAGACACGGUCCAGACUCCUACGGGAGGCAGCAGUGGGGAAUAUUGCACAAUGGGCGCAAGCCUGAUGCAGCCAUGCCGCGUGUAUGAAGAAGGCCUUCGGGUUGUAAAGUACUUUCAGCGGGAGGAAGGGAGUAAAGUUAAUACCUUUGCUCAUUGACGUUACCCGCAGAAGAAGCACCGGCUAACUCCGUGCCAGCAGCCGCGGUAAUACGGAGGGUGCAAGCGUUAAUCGGAAUUACUGGGCGUAAAGCGCACGCAGGCGGUUUGUUAAGUCAGAUGUGAAAUCCCCGGGCUCAACCUGGGAACUGCAUCUGAUACUGGCAAGCUUGAGUCUCGUAGAGGGGGGUAGAAUUCCAGGUGUAGCGGUGAAAUGCGUAGAGAUCUGGAGGAAUACCGGUGGCGAAGGCGGCCCCCUGGACGAAGACUGACGCUCAGGUGCGAAAGCGUGGGGAGCAAACAGGAUUAGAUACCCUGGUAGUCCACGCCGUAAACGAUGUCGACUUGGAGGUUGUGCCCUUGAGGCGUGGCUUCCGGAGCUAACGCGUUAAGUCGACCGCCUGGGGAGUACGGCCGCAAGGUUAAAACUCAAAUGAAUUGACGGGGGCCCGCACAAGCGGUGGAGCAUGUGGUUUAAUUCGAUGCAACGCGAAGAACCUUACCUGGUCUUGACAUCCACGGAAGUUUUCAGAGAUGAGAAUGUGCCUUCGGGAACCGUGAGACAGGUGCUGCAUGGCUGUCGUCAGCUCGUGUUGUGAAAUGUUGGGUUAAGUCCCGCAACGAGCGCAACCCUUAUCCUUUGUUGCCAGCGGUCCGGCCGGGAACUCAAAGGAGACUGCCAGUGAUAAACUGGAGGAAGGUGGGGACGACGUCAAGUCAUCAUGGCCCUUACGACCAGGGCUACACACGUGCUACAAUGGCGCAUACAAAGAGAAGCGACCUCGCGAGAGCAAGCGGACCUCAUAAAGUGCGUCGUAGUCCGGAUUGGAGUCUGCAACUCGACUCCAUGAAGUCGGAAUCGCUAGUAAUCGUGGAUCAGAAUGCCACGGUGAAUACGUUCCCGGGCCUUGUACACACCGCCCGUCACACCAUGGGAGUGGGUUGCAAAAGAAGUAGGUAGCUUAACCUUCGGGAGGGCGCUUACCACUUUGUGAUUCAUGACUGGGGUGAAGUCGUAACAAGGUAACCGUAGGGGAACCUGCGGUUGGAUCACCU
This 1529-nucleotide ribosomal RNA is filed under the name Shigella boydii 4444-74. RNAcentral describes it as "bacterial SSU rRNA". It matches the Rfam family "Bacterial small subunit ribosomal RNA". The record is from RNAcentral. Lineage: Bacteria; Pseudomonadati; Pseudomonadota; Gammaproteobacteria; Enterobacterales; Enterobacteriaceae.